UACGAAGGGGGCUAGCGUUGUUCGGAUUUACUGGGCGUAAAGCGCGUGUAGGCGGAUCGUUAAGUUGGGGGUGAAAUCCCGAGGCUCAACCUCGGAACUGCCUUCAAAACUGGCGAUCUGGACUCAAGUAGAGGCAAGUGGAAUUGCGAGUGUAGAGGUGAAAUUCGUAGAUAUUCGCAGGAACACCAGUGGCGAAGGCGACUUGCUGGACUUGUUGUGACGCUGAGACGCGAAAGCGUGGGGAGCAAACAGG
RNAcentral lists this ribosomal RNA (253 nucleotides) under uncultured bacterium. Its description in RNAcentral is "partial 16S ribosomal RNA". It matches the Rfam family "Bacterial small subunit ribosomal RNA", at positions 524 to 776 of the family's 1533-position model. The record is from RNAcentral.